ACGUACCUGAAAUUUAAAGCGAUAAGUAGGAUUUGCGAAUGUAUAGAUUAUUAGGUCCGGCCCACAACCACAAGAAUGGAGGCGGCCCAUCCCACGACUGUCUGGGCACUGGGCCGGACUCCUCCCUCCGUCUCAUUCAUCGUUCCGGCCGCCGGCCGCCGAUCCCCCGCCCCCCCAAUCCGAUCGGCACCAUGCGACGCGGCGGCUACUCUGGCCGCGGCGGAUUCGGCGCCGGCCACCAUAGCAGCAGCAGCAGCAGCAGCAGCAGAAGCAGCGAUGGCAGGGGAUACCAUGGGGGGAACCCUUGCCUCACGAUGCACCAGCCGUGGGCGUCGCUGCUGGUGCACGGCAUCAAGCGCGUCGAGGGACGCUCCUGGCCAUCCCCAAUCACAGGCCGCCUCUGGAUCCACGCAGCCUCCAAGGUCCCGGAUCCCGACACCAUCAAAGCCAUGGAGGAUUUCUACAGGGAGAUUUAUGCCGUCGACGGGAUCACGGACAUCAACUUCCCACAACAUUACCCCGUCUCGCGUCUCCUAGGCUGCGUUGAGGUGGUAGGAUGUCUCGGGUCCCAGGAGCUUGUUUGCUGGGAACAUGUGCCGCAGUCUGUGAGACUUGAAGGGCUGACUGACUUUUGCUGGCUUUGUGAGAAUCCACAGAAGCUGGUGGUUCCCUUCGAGAUGCGUGGUUACCAGGGUGUCUACAAUUUGGAAAGAAGGAUUUAUGACGGCGCUGUGAGGGGCCUUACACCCGUUCAAGGUCCGCUGCCCGUCAAGUUCCCUCUUCCAGAUCCAAGAGAUGGCCUCUCUCUCAAGCCGGGAUCCCUCACAUUCAUUGAUGCUCCCAAGUCCGCGCUACAAAAGUCCCCGAGUGUUACCGCAGCCAUAGCCGGGGCUCGAGCGGCAGCUACUCAGUUCUCAAAGAAGGAUCACAAUGCCGCCGCUACUAGUACUAGUCAUGUGCGAGAGCAAUGCUCAGGUGAUGGUAAUCUGCCAUCCAUCACUGUCCAGGGGAGCACUGCAGCCUACUCGCAGAACCAGGAUGCUGAGCCUCCGAGACGUCCGAGACUAGAAUUGGAGCUUCCUUCCAAUAGGCUUGUUACAGUGGCACUGAGGGAACUGAAGCAAUUACGCGGGAGCGAGAGAGGAGGAGGGCAACCAGUUGGCAGAAGCUGACCAAGCCGAGGAGUAACUUGCUUCGAUCCUUGUAUAAAACAAACAUACUGGAAAGAAGAAGAAGGUUUCGCGAUCCUUCAAAAAAAAAAAAAGAAGAAGAAGGGAGGAUCGAAGGCACGCAGGGUUUGACAAGUAAUUAAGCCGCCAGGCCAGAGGGUAAACCAUCAACAUGUCCAUUGCAUCUCAGUGUAAAGGUGGUUAGGCAGUCGUCAUUCCAUCUACUUGUGGCUUGCAUUGGACCCUUGCCUGCCUUUUGGUCAACGUUCAAGUCUUGCUAGCUAGCUAAAGCAAUCACCGGCGGAUCGAGCGACUAUACAAACAACGGCACGUGCUCCAAGCUAAUUAUAUACAUUAACCAAUAAGCUAGCUAGCAGUGUCGAUCAUGAGUAGUAGUCUUUUUAAUGAAGCCAAGUUGGUACUGUAGCUAGCUCAAGUAUAUAUACUUAUCAAGCAAAUGGCGGAGCUAACGACCUAACUUGCUUGGGCUGCAUGCACUGGAUGUCAUGACAGCGAUGCAUGCAGAGCACCUGCGCUAUAGCCUCUUGUCUUGCUCUUUAUUUGUUAUGAUCGCUACUCUUUUCCGUAAAUAGUGCUAGCUGCUGUGCAAUAAUGCAUCCUCA
Molecule: RNA transcript, 1792 nt
Organism: Panicum virgatum (switchgrass)
Lineage: Eukaryota; Viridiplantae; Streptophyta; Magnoliopsida; Poales; Poaceae
Exons: 8
Source: RefSeq, a predicted model, not a curated record